CCUACGGGAGGCAGCAGUAGGGAAUUUUCGGCAAUGGGGGCAACCCUGACCGAGCAAAGCCGCGUGAACGAAGAAGUUAUUCGGAAUGUAAAGUUCUUUUAACAGGGAAGAAAGAGAAAUUUGACGUUACGUUCCGAAUGAACCCGGGCUAACUACGUGCCAGCAGCCGGGGUCAUCCGCGGGGGGAGAGCGUUAUCGGGAAUUAUUGGGCGAAAAGGUUGCGCAGAUGGCAUAGAAGGUCUGUGGUAAAAAUGCGGGGCUCAACCAAGUAGGGCAAAAGAUACUGGAAAGCUAGAGUGUGACAGAGGGCAGUGGAACUACAUGUGUAGCGGUAAAAUGCGUAGAUAUAUGUAAGAACACCAGUGGCGAAGGCGGCUGCCUGGGUGGAUGCUGACGCUGAGGUACGAAAGCGUGGGGAGCAAACAGGAUUAGAUACCCGGGUAGUC
This 446-nucleotide ribosomal RNA is filed under the name uncultured bacterium. RNAcentral describes it as "partial 16S ribosomal RNA". It matches the Rfam family "Bacterial small subunit ribosomal RNA", at positions 338 to 795 of the family's 1533-position model. The record is from RNAcentral.